Molecule: long non-coding RNA, 621 nt
Filed under: Cricetulus griseus (Chinese hamster)
Lineage: Eukaryota; Metazoa; Chordata; Mammalia; Rodentia; Cricetidae
Description: lncRNA (ENSCGRG00015038305.1)
Source: RNAcentral
AUAGUGGCCGCUGCAGUGGGGGUCUUAGUCCAGGAUAUAAGGUGUAUUGUAACCUCAGUUCUUGCUGGGCAAUGGCUUUAAUCCCAGCAUUCGGGAGGCAGAGUUAGGCCGGUCUCUGUGAGUUCGAGACCAGUGUAGACUGUAAGAGCUAGUUCCAGGACAGGCUCCAAAACCUUUUUUUCUUUUCUCAGACCACCUGGAGUGAGCUUCAGAUGAGAUGGCAGCAGCUCGGCGUUCUCUGUUUCCCGAUACCCUGGAUCCCCUUGAGGAGGAGCGCCUUUGGGAACAGCAAUGGCAACUGAAACAAUACUUUGAGGAGGAGCCAUACCCAGACCUUGAGGCUCGAAGGGAUCUGGCCACCAAACUUGGCAUGACAGAGGAACAAGUUGAGACUUGGUUCAUUGAUCAGUCCUUGGAGAAGGAGAUGCGGCGACCUGCAAUACAGCUCACUGCCCCUGUAAACACCUAUUCUGCUCGCAGCAGAUUCCGAUCGCUCAGGUUUGCCUUGUUAAACAAGACGCUCAGGGGGACACUCAUUACGCCCUCAACCAGCUCCGCCUGGCAUCAAGACCCAGAUUCAGAAGAGCAGAGAAGACAUGAAGUCAGCUUGCAGACGUACCA